This 254-nucleotide ribosomal RNA is filed under the name uncultured Pseudomonas sp. RNAcentral's name for it is "partial 16S ribosomal RNA". It matches the Rfam family "Bacterial small subunit ribosomal RNA", at positions 99 to 354 of the family's 1533-position model. The record is from RNAcentral. Lineage: Bacteria; Pseudomonadati; Pseudomonadota; Gammaproteobacteria; Pseudomonadales; Pseudomonadaceae.
CGGACGGGUGAGUAAUGCCUAGGAAUCUGCCUGGUAGUGGGGGACAACGUUUCGAAAGGAACGCUAAUACCGCAUACGUCCUACGGGAGAAAGCAGGGGACCUUCGGGCCUUGCGCUAUCAGAUGAGCCUAGGUCGGAUUAGNUAGUUGGUGAGGUAAUGGCUCACCAAGGCGACGAUCCGUAACUGGUCUGAGAGGAUGAUCAGUCACACUGGAACUGAGACACGGUCCAGACUCCUACGGGAGGCAGCAGGC